GGGCGGAUUCCCGAGUGGCCAAAGGGAGCAGACUGUAAAUCUGUUGGCACUGCCUUCAGUGGUUCGAAUCCACUUCCGCCCACUA
RNAcentral lists this transfer RNA (85 nucleotides) under Lachnospiraceae bacterium XPB1003. Its description in RNAcentral is "tRNA_Tyr_GTA". It matches the Rfam family "tRNA". From Rfam's summary of the family: Transfer RNA (tRNA) molecules are approximately 80 nucleotides in length. Their secondary structure includes four short double-helical elements and three loops (D, anti-codon, and T loops). Lineage: Bacteria; Bacillati; Bacillota; Clostridia; Lachnospirales; Lachnospiraceae. The record is from RNAcentral.